CACGUAGUUAGCCGUGACUUUCUGGUUGAUUACCGUCAAAUAGGGGCCAGUUACUACCUCUAUCCUUCUUCACCAACAACAGAGCUUUACGAUCCGAAAACCUUCUUCACUCACGCGGCGUUGCUCCAUCAGGCUUUCGCCCAUUGUGGAAGAUUCCCUACUGCUGCCUCCCGUAGGAGUUUGGGCCGUGUCUCAGUCCCAAUGUGGCCGAUCAGUCUCUCAACUCGGCUAUGCAUCGUCGCCUUGGUAAGCCAUUACCUUACCAACUAGCUAAUGCACCGCGGGUCCAUCCUUUAGCGACAGCUUUCGCCGCCUUUUAAGCAAUAGCCAUGCAGCUAUUGUUGUUAUCCGGUAUUAGCACCUGUUUCCAAGUGGUAUCCCAGACUUUAGGGCAGGUUACCCACGUGUUACUCACCCAUCCGCCGCUCGCGUUCCCAGCGUCAUCACCGAAGUGAAUCUGCUGGUUCAGCUCGCUCGACUUGCAUGUAUUAGGCACGCCG
This 500-nucleotide ribosomal RNA is filed under the name uncultured Lactobacillus sp. RNAcentral's name for it is "partial 16S ribosomal RNA". The record is from RNAcentral. Lineage: Bacteria; Bacillati; Bacillota; Bacilli; Lactobacillales; Lactobacillaceae.